ACCAUGUUGUCUCGAUGUUAAAGAACUUAGUCAUUCUGCAAAAAUUGAAGCGCGUUCCUUGUUUAAAAAGAAUUCAAUUAGAGCAAAUGAUAUUAAGAACAUUACAUUUGCUAGAAAAACUAAUUGAACAGAUGAAGCAGGGCACAGUUCCAUGGGGUGAACUUUGUGAUGAUACUGAGGGAACUAAAGGGUUAAAACUUG
Molecule: long non-coding RNA, 201 nt
Organism: Amphimedon queenslandica
Lineage: Eukaryota; Metazoa; Porifera; Demospongiae; Haplosclerida; Niphatidae
Exons: 3
Source: RefSeq, a predicted model, not a curated record